GACGAACGCUGGCGGCGUGCUUAACACAUGCAAGUCGAACGGAAAGGCCUCUUUCGGGGGGUACUCGAGUGGCGAACGGGUGAGUAACACGUGAGUAACCUGCCCUUGACUUUGGGAUAACUUCAGGAAACUGGGGCUAAUACCGGAUAGGAGCUCCUGCUGCAUGGUGGGGGUUGGAAAGUUUCGGCGGUUGGGGAUGGACUCGCGGCUUAUCAGCUUGUUGGUGGGGUAGUGGCUUACCAAGGCUUUGACGGGUAGCCGGCCUGGGAGGGUGACCGGCCACAGUGGGACUGAGAUACGGCCCAGACGCCUACGGGAGGCAGCAGUGGGGAAUAUUGCACAAUGGGUGGAAGCCUGAUGCAGCAACGCCGUGUGCGGGAUGACGGCCUUCGGGUUGUAAACCGCUUUCGCUCAUGACGAAGCUUUGUGUGACGGUAGUGGGUAAAGAAGCACCGGCUAACUACGUG
This 467-nucleotide ribosomal RNA is filed under the name uncultured bacterium. RNAcentral's name for it is "partial 16S ribosomal RNA". It matches the Rfam family "Bacterial small subunit ribosomal RNA", at positions 28 to 507 of the family's 1533-position model. The record is from RNAcentral.